UACGAAGGGGGCUAGCGUUGCUCGGAAUCACUGGGCGUAAAGGGUGCGUAGGCGGGUCUUUAAGUCAGGGGGGAAAUCCUGGAGCUCAACUCCAGAACUGCCUUUGAUACUGAAGAUCUUGAGUUCGGGAGAGGUGAGUGGAACUGCGAGUGUAGAGGUGAAAUUCGUAGAUAUUCGCAAGAACACCAGUGGCGAAGGCGGCUCACUGGCCCGAUACUGACGCUGAGGCACGAAAGCGUAGGGAGCAAACAGG
Molecule: ribosomal RNA, 253 nt
Filed under: uncultured bacterium
Lineage: Bacteria
Description: partial 16S ribosomal RNA
Rfam family: Bacterial small subunit ribosomal RNA
Source: RNAcentral